RNAcentral lists this ribosomal RNA (600 nucleotides) under uncultured bacterium. Its description in RNAcentral is "bacterial SSU rRNA". It matches the Rfam family "Bacterial small subunit ribosomal RNA", at positions 83 to 643 of the family's 1533-position model. The record is from RNAcentral.
UUGCCGGCGAGCGUGGCGGACGGGUGAGUAAUGCCUGGGAAAUUUGCCCAGUCGAGGGGGGUAACAGUUGGAAACGACUGCUAAUACCGUAUACGCCCUUACGGGGGAAAGCAGGGGACCUUCGGGCCUUGCGCGAUUGGAUAUGCCCAGGUGGGAUUAGCUAGUUGGUGAGGUAAUGGCUCACCAAGGCGACGAUCCCUAGCUGGUCUGAGAGGAUGAUCAGGCACACUGGAAACUGAGACACGGUCCAGACUCCUACGGGAGGCAGCAGUGGGGAAUAUUGGCACAAUGGGGGAAACCCUGAUGCAGCCAUGCCGCGUGAUGUGCANAGAAGGCCUUUCGGGUUGUAAAGCGACUUUCGAGACUGAAGGCAGGANACAGGUUGUUGGUAAUACCCAGAUCAGCUGUGACGUUACUCGCAGAAAAGCACCGGCUAACUCCGUGCCAGUCANGCCAGCGGUGANAUACCGGUAGGGUGCAAUGCGUUAGAUCUGGAAUUACUUGGGCGUAGACAGGCAGCAUCGCAAGGCGGUUGGAUAAGUCUACAUGUGAAAGCCCCGGGCUCGAACCUGGGAAUUGCAUNUCAAAACUGNCCAGCUA